AUUGAACGCUGGCGGCAGGCCUAACACAUGCAAGUCGAGCGGAUGAAGGGAGCUUGCUCCUGGAUUCAGCGGCGGACGGGUGAGUAAUGCCUAGGAAUCUGCCUGGUAGUGGGGGAUAACGUCCGGAAACGGGCGCUAAUACCGCAUACGUCCUGAGGGAGAAAGUGGGGGAUCUUCGGACCUCACGCUAUCAGAUGAGCCUAGGUCGGAUUAGCUAGUUGGUGGGGUAAAGGCCUACCAAGGCGACGAUCCGUAACUGGUCUGAGAGGAUGAUCAGUCACACUGGAACUGAGACACGGUCCAGACUCCUACGGGAGGCAGCAGUGGGGAAUAUGGGACAAUGGGCGAAAGCCUGAUCCAGCCAUGCCGCGUGUGUGAAGAAGGUCUUCGGAUUGUAAAGCACUUUAAGUUGGGAGGAAGGGCAGUAAGUUAAUACCUUGCUGUUUUGACGUUACCAACAGAAUAAGCACCGGCGAACUUCGU
Molecule: ribosomal RNA, 483 nt
Filed under: uncultured bacterium
Lineage: Bacteria
Description: partial 16S ribosomal RNA
Rfam family: Bacterial small subunit ribosomal RNA
Source: RNAcentral